Schistosoma mattheei is the source of this 45-nucleotide non-coding RNA. NCBI's taxonomy places the organism in Eukaryota, Metazoa, Platyhelminthes, Trematoda, Strigeidida, Schistosomatidae. The record is from Rfam.
GCCCAGCUGACGAGUCCCAAACAGGUUGAAACGCACGUCCUGGAU